UGGGGAAUAUUGGACAAUGGGGGCAACCCUGAUCCAGCCAUGCCGCGUGAAUGAUGAAGGCCUUCGGGUUGUAAAGUUCUUUUGGUGGGGACGAUGAUGACGGUACCCACAGAAUAAGCUCCGGCUAACUUCGUGCCAGCAGCCGCGGUAAUACGAAGGGGGCUAGCGUUGUUCGGAAUUACUGGGCGUAAAGGGCGCGUAGGCGGCUUGAUAAGUUGGAUGUGAAAUCCCAAGGCUUAACUUUGGAACUGCAUUCAAGACUAUCUUGCUCGAAUUCGGUAGAGGUUGGUGGAAUUCCCAGUGUAGAGGUGAAAUUCGUAGAGAUUGGGAAGAAUAUCCGUGGCGAAGGCGGCCAACUGGACCGACAUUGACGCUGAGGCGCGAAAGCGUGGGUAGCAAACA
RNAcentral lists this ribosomal RNA (402 nucleotides) under uncultured prokaryote. Its description in RNAcentral is "bacterial SSU rRNA". It matches the Rfam family "Bacterial small subunit ribosomal RNA", at positions 355 to 774 of the family's 1533-position model. The record is from RNAcentral.